RNAcentral lists this ribosomal RNA (673 nucleotides) under Arhysoceble sp. DZUB089493. RNAcentral's name for it is "partial 28S ribosomal RNA". It matches the Rfam family "Eukaryotic large subunit ribosomal RNA", at positions 397 to 788 of the family's 3401-position model. The record is from RNAcentral. Lineage: Eukaryota; Metazoa; Arthropoda; Insecta; Hymenoptera; Apidae.
ACGUGAAACCGUUCAGGGGUAAACCUGAGAAACCCAAAAGAUCGAAUGGGGAGAUUCAUCGUCAACGGUGGCUGGUUCCCGUUGGUGCGCGAUGCUCCGAAUGGGAUUCAUGAGAACAUGGCCCCAUCGCGAGGGCACGCCACCUUCGGCUUGAAUCUUCCGGUGCCGUAGUCGUGCACUUCUCCCCUAGUAGAACGUCGCGACCCGUUGUGUGUCGGUCUACGGCCCGAGCGGGCGCCUGUCGCGUCGCGCUUGUCGCACGCGUCAGACCCUCGGAUGCCUGGCCGGCUGCACGACGGUACUCCCACGGUAUCGGGCCGCAACCAAUCCAUUCUCGAAUGUGUGUGCGUCUAGCCCGCCGCAAGCUCGAUCAGUUCUUACCCGGUGGUACGGACCUGGUGCCGUCCCUGGGCCUGAUCAGCUGUUAGCAGGCGGUGUCCUCGGACUGGCCAAGCUUUGAAUUACCGGUCGGCGACGCUACUGCUUUGGGUACUCUCAGGACCCGUCUUGAAACACGGACCAAGGAGUCUAACAUGUGCGCGAGUCAUUGGGAUGCACAAACCUAAAGGCGAAAUGAAAGUGAAGGUCGUCCAUUGCGUCGACCGAGGGAGGAUGGGCCGCGUUACGAGGCGGCCCCGCACUCCCGGGGCGUCUCGUUCUCAUUGCGAGAAGA